UUAUAGUUAUUCCUUAAAAGCUAAUUGUUAAAAAAGCUUAAAAUAAAGUGUUAGUAGUGCAGUUAGUAAAUUAUUAAAGGGUGCUGUGUGGCUAAUAAAAGCGGUUCGCAUUCCAAGGGAAUUGCGUGCAAUUGAACCUAGUGGAAAAAGGCCUAACGAGGCCUUUUUCCAUUUGUUUAGGCCAGUCGUCUGGAUUUCCGGGAGAAACUGGUCCCAAACGCCCAACUUGCAUCUAUUUGGAAUUUUCCAGAACAAAUCAAAUCCCUGAGCCAGAAAUCUGCCCUGCUGGUACUCCUUUGGGGUAAAUAGCAGAAGAGGGAUCCUCGACAUCACCAUUGUCCAACCACGUUUUCGGGACUUUUGUUAGACCAUUCUGAUCCGGAGUUCGACGCCAUUGUUGGAGACGCCAUCUUGAAUCGACAGGCCGAAUCGAACGCUGAAAUAUCUUGGAAGUGAACCGGGCCCCGGCGAUAAUAGGCCCGGUCCACCCCCACGCAGCGACAGAGAAAAUAAUUGUUGCGCUUCCCACCAGAGGUUCUCCACCAUCGCUCCACCGUCAAGUCGGUUGAUUGGCCAAUCACUAUUGGUUCAUUCGGGCGACUUUUAUGGGUAGCAGAUCGAUCCAGAGGUUCCCCACCUUCACCGUAAGUGAGCCACCGAUCCACAGCAUCCAGAUAAACCGUAAGUCGCGCUGGUAUUAUUAAUUAAACCUAAAUUUUGUGCAAUAGGCAGUUACGUAAAUCGUGAUCACGAGGUUAGGCAAAUCUAGCUAGGUACCCAAAAGUAAGCU
Molecule: long non-coding RNA, 790 nt
Organism: Armigeres subalbatus
Lineage: Eukaryota; Metazoa; Arthropoda; Insecta; Diptera; Culicidae
Exons: 3
Source: RefSeq, a predicted model, not a curated record